RNAcentral lists this long non-coding RNA (956 nucleotides) under Homo sapiens (human). RNAcentral describes it as "HSALNT0383568". Lineage: Eukaryota; Metazoa; Chordata; Mammalia; Primates; Hominidae. The record is from RNAcentral.
GGGCGCCCCUCCCCCAGCCUCGCUGCCGCCUUGCAGUUUGAUCUCAGACUGCUGUGCUAGCAAUUAGCAAGACUCCGUGGGCGUAGGACCCUCCGAGCCAGGUGCGGGUUAUAAUCUACUGGUGCGCCGUGUUUUAAGCCCGUGGAAAAGCACAGUAUUAGGGUGGGAGUGACCCGAUUUUCCAGGUGCCGUCGGUCACCCCUUUCUUUGACUAGGAAAGGGAACUCCCUGACCCCUUGCGCUUCCCGAGUGAGGCAAUGUCUCGCCCUGCUUUGGCUCGCGCAUGGUGCGCUGCACCCACUGUCCUGCGCCCACUGUCUGGCACUCCCUAGUGAGAUGAACGCGGUACCUCAGAUGGAAAUGCAGAAAUCACCUGUCUUCUGCGUCACUCAUGCUGGGAGCUGUAGACCCGAGCUGUUCCUGUUCGUCCAUCUUGGCUGUAAUCCCAGGUUCAUCAAAAUAAGAUAUGAUCAAGGUACAAAAGAGUUAAAGAAGCUAUUUAUUUUAAUGUUUCCUUGGAGAGCACACUUGUUAUUAUGCCUGCCCCAGCUUUGCCUUCCACCAUGAGUAAAAGCUUCCCAAGUCCUCCCCAGAAGCAGAUGCUGGCGCUAUGCUUCUGGUACAGCCUGAAAAACCUUGAGCCAAUUAAACCUCAGUGAGCUCAAGAUGUCUUUGUUGAAACAGAACCUCCCGAAGUUACAGUAUUGGUUUUGGGGCUCCACACAGAGAACACAUCACGGAAGCUAUAAUUGAGGAAGACAAAGCUGUCAGGACGACACCAAGAGAGUUAGAAAGCCCAAGAGUGGAGCAUUCUUCACCAUGAUUCCACCUGACACUUGGCUGAAAGCAUUUUGCACUAAUUUGCUUUGUGCCCGUUCAGACAAUCUAAAAAGAAAGGAUGGGGGGACAACAAGUGUCUAUUACACAGAAUAAACAGCCUCUGGCAAAUGAAUACA